AAUCCAUGAUGAGGGCAAUCACGUUCAUACUCCUUAAAACGUUCCCAAGCUUCAUAGAAAGAUUCAGUUGGCCCUUGUUGAAAAGUUGAGAUCUUCGUUCUCAAAUU
Small nucleolar RNA from Eutrema salsugineum, 107 nucleotides. It matches the Rfam family "Plant small nucleolar RNA R71". From Rfam's summary of the family: R71 is a member of the C/D box family of snoRNAs containing the C (UGAUGA) and D (CUGA) box motifs. Multiple nearly identical copies of this snoRNA have been identified in Arabidopsis, and it is thought to function as a 2'-O-ribose methylation guide for 18S ribosomal RNA. The record is from Rfam. Lineage: Eukaryota; Viridiplantae; Streptophyta; Magnoliopsida; Brassicales; Brassicaceae.